RNAcentral lists this unclassified non-coding RNA (301 nucleotides) under Hevea brasiliensis (rubber tree). Lineage: Eukaryota; Viridiplantae; Streptophyta; Magnoliopsida; Malpighiales; Euphorbiaceae. The record is from RNAcentral.
GACAGAUGUAAAUAAAGAAUAUACUAAAAUAACAUUUACACCAACACAAGCAGAUCGUUUGGUACUAGCAUUUCGAAACUGGCUGAGGCGGCACGGAAAGGGCCAACCUGAAUGGUUUGGGGCUAGCAGCCAGCAACCUCUGCCAUCAACAGUUCUAUCUAAACGUCAGAUGCUGGACAGAUUUGAGCAGCACACACUCCAUUGUUCAUCAUGUAGAGGAGCUUAUAAAACAUUUCAGACACUGCAAAAGCUACUAAUUGGUGCAACUGUAGUUUUCGCAGCCACGGCCGGCAUCCCUUCU